This 400-nucleotide ribosomal RNA is filed under the name uncultured bacterium. RNAcentral's name for it is "bacterial SSU rRNA". It matches the Rfam family "Bacterial small subunit ribosomal RNA", at positions 358 to 774 of the family's 1533-position model. The record is from RNAcentral.
GGAAUUUUGCGCAAUGGAGGAAACUCUGACGCAGUGACGCCGCGUGCAGGAAGAAGGUUUUCGGAUUGUAAACUGCUUUAGACAGGGAAGAAAAAAGACAGUACCUGUAGAAUAAGCUCCGGCUAACUACGUGCCAGCAGCCGCGGUAAUACGUAGGGAGCAAGCGUUAUCCGGAUUUAUUGGGUGUAAAGGGUGCGUAGACGGGAAAAUAAGUUAGCUGUGAAAUCCCUCGGCUUAACUGAGGAACUGCAACUAAAACUAUUUUUCUUGAGUACUGGAGAGGAAAGUGGAAUUCCUAGUGUAGCGGUGAAAUGCGUAGAUAUUAGGAGGAACACCAGUGGCGAAGGCGACUUUCUGGACAGAAACUGACGUUGAGGCACGAAAGUGUGGGGAGCAAACA